This is a transfer RNA of Ovis aries (sheep), 72 nucleotides long. It matches the Rfam family "tRNA". Rfam says of the family: Transfer RNA (tRNA) molecules are approximately 80 nucleotides in length. Their secondary structure includes four short double-helical elements and three loops (D, anti-codon, and T loops). The record is from Rfam. Lineage: Eukaryota; Metazoa; Chordata; Mammalia; Artiodactyla; Bovidae.
UCCCUGGUGGCUCAGAAGGUAAAGAGUUUGCUUGCAAUACAGGAGACCCAGGUUCGAUCCCUGGUUUGGGAA